Non-coding RNA from Triticum aestivum (bread wheat), 138 nucleotides. The record is from Rfam. NCBI's taxonomy places the organism in Eukaryota, Viridiplantae, Streptophyta, Magnoliopsida, Poales, Poaceae.
GCCCUCUCUGAUCUGGAGAUCAUCUCCAAAAUCCUUGCUGGCUUGGACAUGGAGUACAACCCGGUGGUUUCUGCGCUUGCCACCAGGAUGGAAUCCAUCACCGUCCAAGAACUCUAAGCCAGCUGCUCAGUUUUGAUG